UACGAAGGGGGCUAGCGUUGUUCGGAAUUACUGGGCGUAAAGGGCGCGUAGGCGGCCUCGUCCGUCCGGCGUGAAAUGCCUGGGCUCAACCUAGGAAUUGCGCUCGAUACAGCGAGGCUAGAGUGUGGGAGAGGUUGGUGGAAUUCCCAGUGUAGAGGUGAAAUUCGUAGAUAUUGGGAAGAACACCGGUGGCGAAGGCGGCCAACUGGACCACAACUGACGCUGAGGCGCGAAAGCGUGGGGAGCAAACAGG
This 253-nucleotide ribosomal RNA is filed under the name uncultured bacterium. Its description in RNAcentral is "partial 16S ribosomal RNA". It matches the Rfam family "Bacterial small subunit ribosomal RNA", at positions 524 to 776 of the family's 1533-position model. The record is from RNAcentral. RNAcentral also lists the same sequence under 1 other name.